UACGUAGGGUCCGAGCGUUGUCCGGAAUUAUUGGGCGUAAAGAGCUCGUAGGCGGCUUGUUGCGUCGGUUGUGAAAGCCCGGGGCUUAACCCCGGGUCUGCAGUCGAUACGGGCAGGCUAGAGUGUGGUAGGGGAGAUCGGAAUUCCUGGUGUAGCGGUGAAAUGCGCAGAUAUCAGGAGGAACACCGGUGGCGAAGGCGGAUCUCUGGGCCAUUACUGACGCUGAGGAGCGAAAGCGUGGGGAGCGAACAGG
Molecule: ribosomal RNA, 253 nt
Filed under: uncultured bacterium
Lineage: Bacteria
Description: partial 16S ribosomal RNA
Rfam family: Bacterial small subunit ribosomal RNA
Source: RNAcentral